This 433-nucleotide ribosomal RNA is filed under the name uncultured bacterium. RNAcentral's name for it is "partial 16S ribosomal RNA". It matches the Rfam family "Bacterial small subunit ribosomal RNA", at positions 28 to 507 of the family's 1533-position model. The record is from RNAcentral.
GACGAACGCUGGCGGCGUGCUUAACACAUGCAAGUCGAUCGAGACCUUCGGGUCUAGUGGCGCACGGGUGCGUAACGCGUGGGAACCUGCCCUUAGGUUCGGAAUAACUCCCCGAAAGGGGUGCUAAUACCGGAUAAUGUCUUCGGACCAAAGAUUUAUCGCCUUUGGAUGGGCCCGCGUUGGAUUAGCUAGUUGGUAGGGUAAAAGCCUACCAAGGCGACGAUCCAUAGCUGGUCUGAGAGGAUGAUCAGCCACACUGGGACUGAGACACGGCCCAGACUCCUACGGGAGGCAGCAGUGGGGAAUAUUGGACAAUGGGCGAAAGCCUGAUCCAGCAAUGCCGCGUGAGUGAUGAAGGCCUUAGGGUUGUAAAGCUCUUUUACCCGGGAUGAUAAUGACAGUACCGGGAGAAUAAGCUCCGGCUAACUCCGUG